AUAUAUGGCAGACGCGGGUCAAUGUGUAGUAUCUGUUCUUGUCAGCUUAAUAUGCGAUACGGGUUGCAUUUGCACCCAAGAUACUGAACUUAUUUUGGCAAGUUGGCGGAGUACUUGAAGCCUGCUUCACCUCCGCCGCGUGUCGGCCCGCUAUGCGCUAUCUUCGGGAUCAGGCGACGGUUU
Small nuclear RNA from Dermacentor andersoni, 183 nucleotides. RefSeq annotates it as U2 spliceosomal RNA. NCBI's taxonomy places the organism in Eukaryota, Metazoa, Arthropoda, Arachnida, Ixodida, Ixodidae. The record is from RefSeq and is a predicted model, not a curated record.